This 497-nucleotide ribosomal RNA is filed under the name uncultured bacterium. Its description in RNAcentral is "partial 16S ribosomal RNA". It matches the Rfam family "Bacterial small subunit ribosomal RNA", at positions 28 to 507 of the family's 1533-position model. The record is from RNAcentral.
GAUGAACGCUGGCGGCGUGCCUAAUACAUGCAAGUCGAGCGAACGGACGAGAAGCUUGCUUCUCUGAUGUUAGCGGCGGACGGGUGAGUAACACGUGGAUAACCUACCUAUAAGACUGGGAUAACUUCGGGAAACCGGAGCUAAUACCGGAUGAUAUUUUGAACCGCAUGGUUCAAAAGUGAAAGACGGUCUUGCUGUCACUUAUAGAUGGAUCCGCGCUGCAUUAGCUAGUUGGUAAGGUAACGGCUUACCAAGGCAACGAUGCAUAGCCGACCUGAGAGGGUGAUCGGCCACACUGGAACUGAGACACGGUCCAGACUCCUACGGGAGGCAGCAGUAGGAAAUCUUCCGCAAUGGGCGAAAGCCUGACGGAGCAACGCCGCGUGAGUGAGGAAGGUCUUCGGAUCGUAAAACUCUGUUAUUAGGGAAGAACAUAUGUGUAAGUAACUGUGCACAUCUUGACGGUACCUAAUCAGAAAGCCACGGCUAACUACGUG